ACAGACAGAAUCAGAGACCAUCCAAUGUCCUGCUCUGUGGGAGGAACACCAGAAGGAAAAGAAUCUCCUUGCUGCAGACCGUAUGACAACUACUGACUUUCAAGCACUAGGAAGAAACCUUCUGAAGCAUUUUCUGUUUGCCACCGUCAGAAACAAGGGAGGAGACUGAUCUUUUGCAAUUGCCUUACGCUGAAGAGUUGGUUAAAAAGCACCUUGGAAUAAAGGAAGCAGAAAACUGAAAACAGGACUGAGAGGAAUGGAGAACUGCCAGUAAGCAGACAGCUGGGAAAAGCUGCAAGAGGAAAUGGCAAAGAGCAUCCAUGCGGCGCUGGUGAGCCCGGGGCUGGAGGGGGUGCGGACAGCCCUGGAGAAGCAGGACAGCAGGGAGAAAACCCAGGGGAAAUGGUGGGAGUGAAUCACUGAGGGCCUCACGGAGGAAGCCAGCGACUGCUCCUCUCCCAGAUGGCAUCCUGUAUCCACUGACACAGAAAAUAAUUUCCCAGGAUUUUCUUUAAUGAAUGACCUAUUAUGAACAAGCUGGAAAAACCCAUACUAUACGAUUCUUCCACAGAAAAACUGAUAAUUAAUAUAAAUGGAAAUAAGCCCCAAAAUAGGAAUCCUUUUUGUUGCUUAAACUGCGCAUGGUAUUUCAUUGUGGUAGCUUGUGCAUUUAAAAAAAAUGCUGUCCAAAUGAUAUUGUCAUGGGUAAUUGUACUAUUAAAAAGACAAAGAAUGGAAACACAAAAAUAUUAUUUCUAGUAUAAUGUUUACUGCAUAAAAUUCUGUUAGUCAGGUUCUUUCCCAUCCCCUGGAUGUUACUUUACACCUAAUCCUUCAUUCUUUCAAUUCUUAGCGUAGAAAAUUAAUGUUAAAGCUACUGCUGCUUCCAUUUUUUUUUUUCACCACCUCAUCUAAAAAGCCUGAAAUACUAUUUUCCCUUUACGUCUUGAGGGUACUUGUGCCUAAUAGGAAUGAAGAAACAUAGGGACGAGUUUAAAUGUGUUGACUGAUUUAUAGCAUAUUUAGACCUUGAAGAACAUGUGUGUAGUGACUAUGUUUAAAUGUGACCCUCGUGUGCAGCCUGCAAAGCCCUACUGCUCUCCGGCAGCAAGUGCAGUCCACUCAUGUCAUACAGCAAUUAGAGCAGCACACUUAGCUACUUGGAUGAACUGACAUUUCUUCAGAGUGGUUUUAAAUAUCAGGAAAAUGUGAGCAACUAUAAGCUAAAACAGGGAGUGCUAUUCCUGAUAUUGUGUUCUCUUGGAAGGAGGGACAUCCAUGAGGAUAAAGGUUCCAGAUUUUAGGGAUGGAUCCUGUAAGUACACUCAGGAGGCAACAACUUCUGACAUCUGGAAGGCCAAAGAAAUAACAGUGGAGUAAGUGGCUUAGACAGAGUUAAGCAAGAGAGGAUAUUCCAACCCCAAGCUGGCAUAGUAGUCUGCUCCACUUCAUUUCAUGUCUCUGCUUCUCUCUGAAGUCAUGUCCCUAAAUCCUGAAAUUUUCCAUUAGACAUGCUCGGUAUUGUCAGUAUUACAUGUUCAGGAUAACUUUUGCACCCUGUCAGAGCUUCGGAAGCACAACAAAUUAAUCUGGAAAUUUGGAUUGUUUCAGACUGCACUGUACUAGGGACACAACAGGAGCUCUGCAGGGAGAAGGAGAGGUGAAGUCACUGAGGAGGGAGCACUUGCACAGAGGGAUUGAUUGCUAUUGAGGAAGGCCAGAAAAAAGUUAAAAACAGCAACAAAGGGAGCGGCAGAAAAGGUGGGAAGAGGAAGUAAAAUGACAAGUGGAAGUGGCACCAUAAUGCUCUACUGUCUCUAAAGCAAAGAAAAAUUAUUUAUUUAUUCAUUUUCAGCCAAAGGGAAAAAAAAAACACUAAGACAUAAAAAGAGACAGAAAGUAGAACAGGAACUAGAACAUGUGAAGAAAAAGGGCAGCAAAGGAAGAGGAGAUUAAGAGAGUGGUGAAACAAGUGCUGGACGUAAAGGAGUUGGUGGGGGAGGAGGCAACACAAAGAGGUCUGAUGUACAGGGCUUUUAGGUAAGUGAAUUUUAUUAGUAUAUGUCAUUUCCUACUUUUUAUUGCAUUUCUCUGGCAACCAUCCAGCAGUUCCAUAACCUAUGGGUGGGUUCCAUAACCUAUGGGAGGUGGCUGCGAGGUCAAAAUGGUAGUUUUUGGCAGAAUAUUGACAUGACUUGAGUCAGGCCAUUACUUGUGGUUGUCAUUAGACAAAUAGUGAAACUGGGUUAAUGGGGCAGGUGAAUGAAUCCUACAGGCUAGGGGAGGUUCAGUUUUCAAAACCUGACUCAUGCAGAAAGGCCCAACUGACUCAGUGCAGUGAAAGCGAUGGCGAGCAAUGGUUUCAGCACUGCAGGGGCCCCAGGGACCUAUUUAGAAGACAGUUCUCAGCUGUCAGAUAUACUUUAGCCUCUCUGCAGACUUAGGAAGGUGGACACUGGAUACGUUUCAGUAUAGUUAACUUCUCUUUAUGUAACCAUGGGAUCCUGAAACACAGCCAUGUGGCAAAACAUGACUUACAUGGAAAAUGUCCUGAACUCUGAAUUUUCGUCU
Molecule: long non-coding RNA, 2571 nt
Organism: Cygnus olor (mute swan)
Lineage: Eukaryota; Metazoa; Chordata; Aves; Anseriformes; Anatidae
Exons: 4
Source: RefSeq, a predicted model, not a curated record